This 291-nucleotide unclassified non-coding RNA is filed under the name uncultured fungus. Its description in RNAcentral is "partial contains 5.8S ribosomal RNA, internal transcribed spacer 2, and large subunit ribosomal RNA". The stretch from base 1 to 52 matches the Rfam family "5.8S ribosomal RNA", at positions 103 to 154 of the family's 154-position model. RNAcentral also lists the same sequence under 1 other name. Lineage: Eukaryota; Fungi. The record is from RNAcentral.
AACGCACCUUGCACUCUUUGGUAUUCCGAAGAGUAUGUCUGUUUGAGUGUCAUGAACCUCUCAACCCCCCCAUUUUGUAAUGAGAUGGGCGUGGGCUUGGAUUAUGGCCGCUUGUCGGACCCUCACGGGACCGGCUCGGCUGAAAUACACGAGUGACCCAAUUGGAAGAGGCGGCUUGACUCGGCGUAAUAAUAUAUUCGCUGGGGAACGCUAAUUCCGCGUGGUGCUUCUAAUGCGUAUACACCUUAAGCUUUAGACCUCAAAUCAGAUAGGACUACCCGCUGAACUUAA